UGUGCAAGUAUGAUCCUGAACUGGAUGCC
This 29-nucleotide non-coding RNA is filed under the name Mus musculus (house mouse). The record is from RNAcentral. Lineage: Eukaryota; Metazoa; Chordata; Mammalia; Rodentia; Muridae.